RNAcentral lists this long non-coding RNA (593 nucleotides) under Homo sapiens (human). RNAcentral describes it as "HSALNT0084545". The record is from RNAcentral. Lineage: Eukaryota; Metazoa; Chordata; Mammalia; Primates; Hominidae.
ACUCAGGCCCGCUCCCACACCGUGGAGUGUACUUUCAACACAUCUCUCUGUUUGUUGCUUCAUUCUUUCCUUGCUUUGUGUGUUUUGUCCAAUUCUUGGGAACCUGGACACCCUCCACCAGUAACACUGUGGCCCUUGGGGAACGAGUCAUUAAAAUUUUAACGACAAGUGCAGCUCUUCGAAGGAUAUUCCAGUCAAAGGAAGAGCAUCAAAGAAGAGGUUUUUUGCUUGGGUUACUGGCAAUCAAAGAAUGUGUCACUAACACCUGGACGGGGUUUUGAAGUACUAGCAGGAGUUCCUCAGGUUCACAGAGGAGUGCUAUGAGGGAGGACAGCCAAGGAGAUGGAAGGGCCUGGAUGUUUAGGUUACCCUCGCCUCCCACAAGAGUUGCCCAUGGUUCAAAAGCCAAUUGUCUCCGUCGCUAAGGGUGGGACAGAAUCCAAGGCACAACCUAUACUCUAGGGGCCCCUUGGGUUGAAGCUGAGUCCGUGACCACCCCUGAAAAUGCACUGUUGCUGGCUUCUCCUCCUCCCUACUUGGCUUUGCCCACCUCUUUCUGUCCCUGCGGGAGAACAUCCUCAGGAAAUCCCCGG